GCAGCUUGCGUCAUCCUGUCGGUUCUCCUUGUCUUGGGGGGCAAAUAAAACCCACUUUUCCACACCAGGUGUGAGUGGGUGUUCCUCCCUAGGCAGACCUUGGGUUCCCAGGAAGCUGCCCUGUUCCCAUCCUGGGUGGUUUAUACACUCCCACCCUGGUAUUUCCUGCCAGCUUCUAGCAUCUUCUCUCCCCAGCCGACCGACACCCCGUCUGUACACCAGUCACAGGACACCUCGACGUUCCACCCGCUAAAGCCGUGGAGGGCAUCACCCAUCCUAAAAACAGGCAUCCUUUAGGACAGGUGGCGGCCAGAUGGACCAGCUUGUCCAUUUUUAGAACUCGCUUUCCCUGCAGAAAUGCACGUUCCAAUGGUAGGAGUGUGUGGGGAGCCGGUUUGCAGCCAACAGUGUGGGUUUGACACCCUGUUGAGGGUGACCUCAUGCUUUACACACCCACGCAUCCCCUGAGCCCUGAGCACCGCGGGGGGCUGCUGGAUUCCUCCUUAGUGACUUCUGCUCUGCCGCAUGCAGGCUCUUGCCUGCACAGCCCGCACAACCUGUAAAGAGCCCCCCUCGCCCCUUGGCUGCUGCCUCCCUUCUCCGUUUUCCUUCAAGAGCUGCCUCGUUCUUGUGUUCGAUUUCGUGGUGGGGUUUUCACCCUUUGGGAAUCUUAGGGUCAGGACAUAGUGGACUAAGAUCUAGACUGGAUUACUCCUUGCAGCUUCUAUGUCGGGAGCAACAUUGAAUUCUUCAUGGGGAACCCUGCUGCCUGCAGGUUCAGGACCACUGGGAGGUGAGCAGAGUUGGAGUCAAGAGACCUGUCCCUGUUUUAAUGGAAGAACCCCAAGACUUGGCCGACAACCUUUUUUUUUUUUUUUUUUCUUUUUAAGGUCACAUCUGCGGCAUAUGGAAGUUCCCAGGCCAGGGGUCGAGUCGGAGCUGCAGCUGCCAACCUACACCACAGCCACAGCCACGCCAGAUCCAAGCCAUGGCUGCAGUGUAGUCCAGCAGCUGUAGCUCCGAUUCGUCCCCUAGCCUGGGAACUUGUCUAUGUGCUUCAGGUGCAGCCGUAAAAAGAAAAAAAAAAAAAAAAAAGGAAGAGGCUGGUGGACUAUCCAGGUGGGCUGGCGUAACCGCAGGGCUUCUUCAAAGGGGAGGAAGCAGCGGAGGAUGAGAGCAGAAUGACUCUGCGAGAAGGACUCAGCCCAGCACUGCUGGCUUUGCAGGCAGAGAAGGGGACCGUGAAACCAGGAAUCUGCAGACUAGGGACCGGAUGGGCCCUGGAACACCAGCCUGCCGACACCAUGAAUGUCUCCCCGUAAGCGCUCUCUGGGACAGCCAACCUCUACAGUUUUGCAAGAGAGGGACUCCGGGUCACUGAAAGUCCCAACGUCUGUGCUUACAGCAGCGCCGGGAAGCUAAGACAGCUACCCGUGUGGGUGACUCUGGACCAGUCACUCAGAUUCCCUGAGCACUGGCUCCCUGGUCACAUGAAGGUGGCAUCCGGCUCACAGAACGGUUGCCCGAAUCCGCAAAGGUGGUGGAAGCCGUGUUGAUCCCGCGGGCUGUCCGCCGAGCGUUCGUGGAAAGAACCGAAGCCCUGGAUGGAAGCGGGAAAAACAGCUCCUGGGAAGAGAUUCACGUUCUGUUACAAAGUAUGAAUUUGUGUCCGUCGCCUCUUGCCAGGUAACAAAUGAUCCUAAAAGCAGCUGUUUAAAAGGACAUAAAGAUUAUACACCUCUGGGAGUUCUCGUGAUUCCGUGGGUUAUAAACCCAGCUAGUGUCCAAGAGGGUGCGAGUUUGAUCUCUGGUCUCGCUCAGUGGGUUAAGGAUCCGGCGUUGCCAUGAGCUGUGGUGUAGGUGGCAGAGGCAGCUCGGAUCCCGUGUUGCUGUGGCUGUAGUGUAGGCUGGUGGCUACAGCUCCGAUUCGACCCCCAGCCUGGGAACAUCCUUAUGCUGCAGGUGCAGCCCUAAAAGAAAAGAAAAAAAAAAGGACAAAACACUCUGGCUCGAUGACAACCGUUUAGCACAGACCCAGUCUAUAGGACGGAAGCCAGGAACGCUCUUCAAAUCCCUCCAGCGUCCACAGCAGCCUCCGUCCGAUGCCAGAGAGUGCCCUGACCCCAAAUGUCUGGAGAGCCUAGGUUGAAAAACACCACCUUCUCCAAAGCCAGGGUUGUGUACCUUCCAAGUUCCUACAGACCCACCCUUUUGCUCUCUCACCCUCAGCAUCCAACCAUCAGCAACCGGUUUUAUUCCAAGGUCCCAGGAGCAGUUUCAUGGCUCUUUUUCCAACCUCUGUUCAGCACCCCGUUUCAAAGCCAAGCCACUCUGUUAGAGCAACCACCCCUUUCUGGAGGGAGCCGCUUCGGGAUCUGUCACCCAGAGCUCUGAGUCAUAGCACCAUCUUUAUGGUAGAAUUUAUUGCAGAAUGAUAGAAUUGCAGUUUCCUUGGUCCUGGCCCCGCCAUAGCAAAGCAUUGAAAUGGCAGGCGUUUUACAAGUUUAUUAGAGCAAAAGAGAGAGACUGCGCCUGCACAUGGGUGAAAGAGAGGGCCUGCCUCACUCUGCAGGUGUUUUUAUAUCCCCGUGCUUGAUGCCUUAUUUGCGUGGGGCACAGGUUACAUAGAGGCGGAACGAGGAAUGGGUGACAUUCCUUCCCAGGUGGCUGAAGGUCGGGGCAGUGGCUUACAACGAGACAUGGCCAGAGGCUUUGGGAUUUAAUCUCCUUGCCGGGGAUUUGAAGCCUGUAACAUUAAAAUCAGCUUGACUUUCAUGCUUCUGCAGAAUGCCGUCUGGAUUUGCUUGUAAUACGGUGCAUCUGCACCAGGGCGGCGGGGCGGGGGGGGCUCCAAUCCGCUGGGACAUCCUUCUUUUGGUCUUGCCUGGGGCCAGUCACGUUGAUGCUGCCACCUGUCCAUGAAGCGGUCCUAUCCGAGACCAGACCAUCAGAAGGGUCCCCCCGUCGAGUCCAUUCUCAACAGCCAACCCAUAGAAACAUGAGUGGGAUGGACGGGGAGUUUGGGGUGAGUAGAUGCAAACCAGUGCUUUUGGAGUGGAUAAGCCAUGCGGUCCUGCUGUACUGCCCAGGGAACUCUGGCUGGUCCCUUGUGAUGGCACAGGAUGGAGGAGAAAGUGAGCAAAAGAAUGUGGGUGUGUAUAUGACGGGGUCCCUUUGCUGUACAGCAGAAAUGGAAAGAACAUUGUAAAUCAACCAUAAUUU
Molecule: long non-coding RNA, 3222 nt
Filed under: Sus scrofa (pig)
Lineage: Eukaryota; Metazoa; Chordata; Mammalia; Artiodactyla; Suidae
Description: lncRNA (ENSSSCG00000059760.1)
Source: RNAcentral